GAUGAACGCUGGCGGCGUGCCUAAUACAUGCAAGUCGAGCGAACGGACGAGAAGCUUGCUUCUCUGAUGUUAGCGGCGGACGGGUGAGUAACACGUGGAUAACCUACCUAUAAGACUGGGAUAACUUCGGGAAACCGGAGCUAAUACCGGAUGAUAUUUUGAACCGCAUGGUUCAAAAGUGAAAGACGGUCUUGCUGUCACUUAUAGAUGGAUCCGCGCUGCAUUAGCUAGUUGGUAAGGUAACGGCUUACCAAGGCAACGAUGCAUAGCCGACCUGAGAGGGUGAUCGGCCACCCUGGAACUGAGACACGGUCCAGACUCCUACGGGAGGCAGCAGUAGGGAAUCUUCCGCAAUGGGCGAAAGCCUGACGGAGCAACGCCGCGUGAGUGAUGAAGGUCUUCGGAUCGUAAAACUCUGUUAUUAGGGAAGAACAUAUGUGUAAGUAACUGUGCACAUCUUGACGGUACCUAAUCAGAAAGCCACGGCUAACUACGU
Molecule: ribosomal RNA, 496 nt
Filed under: uncultured bacterium
Lineage: Bacteria
Description: partial 16S ribosomal RNA
Rfam family: Bacterial small subunit ribosomal RNA
Source: RNAcentral